GACGAACGCUGGCGGCGUGCCUAAUACAUGCAAGUCGAACGAGAGCGACCGGUGCUUGCACUGGUCAAUCUAGUGGCGAACGGGUGAGUAACACGUGGGUAACCUGCCCAUCAGAGGGGGAUAACAUUCGGAAACGGAUGCUAAAACCGCAUAGGUCUUCGAACCGCAUGGUUUGAAGAGGAAAAGAGGCGCAAGCUUCUGCUGAUGGAUGGACCCGCGGUGCAUUAGCUAGUUGGUGAGGUAACGGCUCACCAAGGCCGUGAUGCAUAGCCGACCUGAGAGGGUGAUCGGCCACAUUGGGACUGAGACACGGCCCAAACUCCCACGGGAGGCAGCAGUAGGGAAUCUUCCGCAAUGGACGCAAGUCUGACGGAGCAACGCCGCGUGAGUGAAGAAGGUUUUCGGAUCGUAAAACUCUGUUGUUAGAGAAGAACAAGUGCUAGAGUAACUGUUAGCGCCUUGACGGUAUCUAACCAGAAAGCCACGGCUAACUACGUG
Molecule: ribosomal RNA, 498 nt
Filed under: uncultured bacterium
Lineage: Bacteria
Description: partial 16S ribosomal RNA
Rfam family: Bacterial small subunit ribosomal RNA
Source: RNAcentral